UGGCGCCCGAACAGGGACCUAGAAACGAGGGACUCCGUGAGGAAGAGGACGCCAAAGGACGGUCGACCGCUAACGAAGACAAAAGAAAGUGAACUCUUCCGAUCACCGCGGGAACCUGCCGCGUCAGAAUCGAAGGUAAGUGACGCGUCCGAAAUGGGACAAGAAUUAAGCCAACAUCAGAUCUAUGUAGGACAAUUAAAAGAGGCUUUAAAGAUACGAGGAGUAAAGGUUAAAGGUAAUGAUUUGUUUAAAUUUUUUGAUUUUGUAAAAGACACUUGCCCUU
Molecule: regulatory RNA element, 283 nt
Organism: Chlorocebus sabaeus (green monkey)
Lineage: Eukaryota; Metazoa; Chordata; Mammalia; Primates; Cercopithecidae
Rfam family: Mason-Pfizer monkey virus packaging signal
About the family: The packaging signal is located in the 5' UTR and is required for specific RNA encapsidation.
Source: Rfam